This 564-nucleotide ribosomal RNA is filed under the name Streptomyces sp. 387G12. RNAcentral's name for it is "bacterial SSU rRNA". It matches the Rfam family "Bacterial small subunit ribosomal RNA", at positions 93 to 671 of the family's 1533-position model. Lineage: Bacteria; Bacillati; Actinomycetota; Actinomycetes; Kitasatosporales; Streptomycetaceae. The record is from RNAcentral.
UAGUGGCGAACGGGUGAGUAACACGUGGGCAAUCUGCCCUUCACUCUGGGACAAGCCCUGGAAACGGGGUCUAAUACCGGAUAUCACUCCUGCAGGCAUCUGCGGGAGUCGAAAGCUCCGGCGGUGAAGGAUGAGCCCGCGGCCUAUCAGCUUGUUGGUGAGGUAAUGGCUCACCAAGGCGACGACGGGUAGCCGGCCUGAGAGGGCGACCGGCCACACUGGGACUGAGACACGGCCCAGACUCCUACGGGAGGCAGCAGUGGGGAAUAUUGCACAAUGGGCGAAAGCCUGAUGCAGCGACGCCGCGUGAGGGAUGACGGCCUUCGGGUUGUAAACCUCUUUCAGCAGGGAAGAAGCGAAAGUGACGGUACCUGCAGAAGAAGCGCCGGCUAACUACGUGCCAGCAGCCGCGGUAAUACGUAGGGCGCAAGCGUUGUCCGGAAUUAUUGGGCGUAAAGAGCUCGUAGGCGGCUUGUCACGUCGGGUGUGAAAGCCCGGGGCUUAACCCCGGGUCUGCAUUCGAUACGGGCUAGCUAGAGUGUGGUAGGGGAGAUCGGAAUUCCU